This 310-nucleotide long non-coding RNA is filed under the name Salvia miltiorrhiza (redroot sage). RNAcentral describes it as "long non-coding RNA (SMIL_LNC008744)". Lineage: Eukaryota; Viridiplantae; Streptophyta; Magnoliopsida; Lamiales; Lamiaceae. The record is from RNAcentral.
AAAAAAAUGUAGAGUUUUUGUUAUUUUGAUUGGUUCAUAGUAAAUUUAAAUUGAUUUUAUUUAGUACACAUAUUCUGAUAUUUUCAACUUUAUCACAUUCAAAAUUGAGUUAAUAUAUCCACUUUCAUAUUUUAAAAUUAAAAUCUAGUCUAUGAAAUAAAAAUAUUGAAAAAUGACCAAUAUUUAAGUAAAAGUACAAAAUCACUCCUAACAAAAAAAUAUAAAAAUUUAGCCACUCAUCCCAAAGCAAAAAAAAAAAAUUACUGCCCCUUACCCUGCUCCACCCCCCUUCUAACCACCCACCCCCAAG